AUGUUUGGGAAGAAUAUGUCUAGAUAUUUUGAAAGAUAAGUGGUCUCCAGCCUUGCAGAUCCGCACAGUGCUGCUAUCAAUCCAGGCAUUACUAAGCGCUCCCAACCCUGAUGAUCCUCUAGCAAACGACGUUGCAGAACAGUGGAAGACUAACGAAGCUCAAGCCAUAGAGACAGCCCGAACAUGGACCAGGCUUUAUGCCGGAAACAAUAUAGAAGUCUAGAAAUUUGUGUGGGGAGACAAAAAGAGAAAAAAAGGAAGUCAAGAGUGAACACAACUCCAUGUUCUGCCAAGACCUAUUCAUUUUCAUGUAAAGGACACAGUCUUAGGAAACAAAAAAUUGAUAAACUGUAAAGAAUAUAUUAACACAAAAGUAAAAAGAAAACUUAAGACAAUUUGUGAUUUAAAUGCACAUUAGUACAACAAAAAAAUGUCUUUGUCCUGAUUCACCGCUGUUGAGAUGCAUGGGCAGAUCGACUCGUACGGCUUUCUUUUACAGUGGUUGGGGAGGUAGCCGCAGACUUCUGCUAUGAAGCGUGCAUUAAAACUGACUGUCAUUUGUCUGUCCCCUUGUUUUUUUUUUGUGGGAGGGGGGUAACUUUUUAUAUUUCUUUUAACCUUUUUUCUUCUCAUUGCUCUGUGUUAAUGAGGAGCAGCAGACUAGCCCGUUUAGAGCACCCUUUCUGUCAAACUGCAGACUUACCCUGUUAGGAAACCUAGAAAAAAUGUAUAGGUUCACUAAAACGAAAAAGAGAUGCAAGAUUUAAACCACAUGCAAACAGUAAUUUCACCUGGGAAAUGGCUCAACUGGAAAGUCCUUCCACCAUCACAGAAACAUUUAAAGAUGUAAACCCUAAUGUAGACUUGAUUUGUGUUUUGGAUUAUGGGCAAGGUAGAGCUAGAGUGAAGGAAGAUUUUGCGUAAUAUUUCUUUUAGCAUAACAAUUCUGUUAAUGUAUCCGGUUUUAGUGUUUUAUGUAUCUUGCCAUCGCUGUACUAAUUGCACUCUUGAAACUCCGUCAUUGCGUGCUUUUUGUUUUCUCGUGUCCAUCACAGUCCAGUGCAUUGAGAUUCAUUUGUCUGUUUCUUCCCUUAAGCAUUUAUUUCGAUACGCCGUGGCUGCAGGGGAGCUGGAGACGAAUGAUGAAUAGUGAGAUUUUAGUAAAGGGGUGAGGGGUGGGAAUGUUUGCAGAAACAUUGCAAAAGAUCAGUAAAGGCUUUGUCUCAA
Molecule: long non-coding RNA, 1227 nt
Organism: Sinocyclocheilus anshuiensis
Lineage: Eukaryota; Metazoa; Chordata; Actinopteri; Cypriniformes; Cyprinidae
Exons: 3
Source: RefSeq, a predicted model, not a curated record